AAAUUGAAGAGUUUGAUCAUGGCUCAGAUUGAACGCUGGCGGCAGGCCUAACACAUGCAAGUCGAGCGGUAGCACAGAGAGCUUGCUCUCGGGUGACGAGCGGCGGACGGGUGAGUAAUGUCUGGGAAACUGCCUGAUGGAGGGGGAUAACUACUGGAAACGGUAGCUAAUACCGCAUAACGUCGCAAGACCAAAGUGGGGGACCUUCGGGCCUCAUGCCAUCAGAUGUGCCCAGAUGGGAUUAGCUAGUAGGUGGGGUAACGGCUCACCUAGGCGACGAUCCCUAGCUGGUCUGAGAGGAUGACCAGCCACACUGGAACUGAGACACGGUCCAGACUCCUACGGGAGGCAGCAG
RNAcentral lists this ribosomal RNA (355 nucleotides) under Klebsiella pneumoniae. Its description in RNAcentral is "bacterial SSU rRNA". It matches the Rfam family "Bacterial small subunit ribosomal RNA", at positions 1 to 354 of the family's 1533-position model. RNAcentral also lists the same sequence under 1 other name. Lineage: Bacteria; Pseudomonadati; Pseudomonadota; Gammaproteobacteria; Enterobacterales; Enterobacteriaceae. The record is from RNAcentral.